This 863-nucleotide long non-coding RNA is filed under the name Lupinus angustifolius (narrow-leaved blue lupine). Its description in RNAcentral is "long non-coding RNA (LANG_LNC001255)". The record is from RNAcentral. Lineage: Eukaryota; Viridiplantae; Streptophyta; Magnoliopsida; Fabales; Fabaceae.
GUGGUUGUGUUGUUGAUUCUGUGUUAUCAUCUUCUCUAAAAUGAGAUUGAGAAGGCUCAGGUGUAGGAUUUGAAGUACUUUCCACAUUUACUUGAUGAGAACUUUGUUGUGAAACUUGUUGAGUACUAGCAACAUUCAUAUUUUUUGUAUUCACUAGAUCCAUUUUACCUAACAAAAGAAACACAAUAAACAUAGAUACGACAAAUGAAUAAUACAGUAUUAAGUCUGUUGAUAAACAAGGAAAAAGUGGUUUCUAAAAAAUAGAAUGUCACCACAUACAUUGCAGUAAUGUAUGUAUAAUCAUAAUGUUGAUUUUUAUUGGAUAAUUUGUAUCUAAGUUUUGUACCAUAUACUAACACUUUUGAUUGAUUUCAGAUUUCACUUAAGAGGAAUAAGUGCUUAAACAGAAUCACUGAACAUAUAAAGAAAUAAUUAUAAAAAAAUAUGAAGGAAUCUCUAGAAGUUGAAUUUGAAUACUAUAAAUACUAUUUUUAUUUUAUUUACUCUAAAAGGAAUCUCUAGCUAGCUUUAUAUGUUGACUCCAGUAUGCAACAAAUUACAAAUGUAUGCAAAAAUAUGCUAAAGCCUUCGAACUGUGUUGUUUAUAUAGUUACUAAUAUAGUUACUCCUUAUACUUCUAUUUAUCCCAUAGAUUGUUUAAAAAUGUUAACCUCGUAAGUUUUUGGAGUACUCCUUAUACUUCUAUUUAAUAGAUCUGAAGCUUUAAAAAGUAGAUUAUUCAUAUGAAAUCCAAAUAUGCUAUGAAUAAAUAAAUCAAUCAAAAAGCUUUAAAAAAUCUACUUAUAAGCUAUGAUAUAUUACCAAUGGAGAAGAGGAAGAUGAAUGAAGAAGAUAAAGAUGAU